This 610-nucleotide ribosomal RNA is filed under the name uncultured bacterium. RNAcentral's name for it is "bacterial SSU rRNA". It matches the Rfam family "Bacterial small subunit ribosomal RNA", at positions 268 to 878 of the family's 1533-position model. The record is from RNAcentral.
CCAAGGCGACGAUCAGUAGGGGUUCUGAGAGGAAGGUCCCCCACAUUGGAACUGAGACACGGUCCAAACUCCUACGGGAGGCAGCAGUGAGGAAUAUUGGUCAAUGGACGAGAGUCUGAACCAGCCAAGUAGCGUGCAGGAUGACGGCCCUAUGGGUUGUAAACUGCUUUUAUAAGGGAAUAAAGUGAGUCUCGUGAGACUUUUUGCAUGUACCUUAUGAAUAAGGACCGGCUAAUUCCGUGCCAGCAGCCGCGGUAAUACGGAAGGUCCGGGCGUUAUCCGGAUUUAUUGGGUUUAAAGGGAGCGUAGGCCGGAGAUUAAGCGUGUUGUGAAAUGUAGACGCUCAACGUCUGCACUGCAGCGCGAACUGGUUUCCUUGAGUACGCACAAAGUGGGCGGAAUUCGUGGUGUAGCGGUGAAAUGCUUAGAUAUCACGAAGAACUCCGAUUGCGAAGGCAGCUCACUGGAGCGCAACUGACGCUGAAGCUCGAAAGUGCGGGUAUCGAACAGGAUUAGAUACCCUGGUAGUCCGCACGGUAAACGAUGGAUGCCCGCUGUUGGUCUGAAUAGGUCAGCGGCCAAGCGAAAGCAUUAAGCAUCCCACCUGGGG